RNAcentral lists this ribosomal RNA (379 nucleotides) under Russula sp. M10. Its description in RNAcentral is "eukaryotic LSU rRNA". The stretch from base 255 to 379 matches the Rfam family "Eukaryotic large subunit ribosomal RNA", at positions 1 to 125 of the family's 3401-position model. Lineage: Eukaryota; Fungi; Basidiomycota; Agaricomycetes; Russulales; Russulaceae. The record is from RNAcentral.
AAACCAUUUCUUUUGGUCAUUUUUGACCAUGGAAAGGAUUUUGGACUUGGAGGCCUUUUGCUGGUUUCACCUUGAAGCGAGCUCCUCCCAAAUGUAUUAGUGGGGUCUGCAUUGUCGGUCCUUGGCGUGAUAAGUUGUUUUUACGUCUUGGAUUUUUGGCGCUGUGCUCCUGCUUCUAACCGUCUCAUUGACAACGAUGGUGUUCCGGUCGCCGCCGAUUUUUCGGUGGGAGGCUUGACCCACAAAACAAACCUUGACCUCAAAUCGGGUGAGACUACCCGCUGAACUUAAGCAUAUCAAUAAGCGGAGGAAAAGAAACUAACAAGGAUUCCCCUAGUAACUGCGAGUGAAGCGGGAAAAGCUCAAAUUUAAAAUCUGG